RNAcentral lists this ribosomal RNA (465 nucleotides) under uncultured bacterium. Its description in RNAcentral is "partial 16S ribosomal RNA". It matches the Rfam family "Bacterial small subunit ribosomal RNA", at positions 28 to 507 of the family's 1533-position model. The record is from RNAcentral.
GACGAACGCUGGCGGCGUGCUUAACACAUGCAAGUCGAACGGAAAGGCCCUGCUUGCAGGGUACGCGAGUGGCGAACGGGUGAGUAACACGUGGGUGAUCUGCCCUCCACUUCGGGAUAAGCCUGGGAGACUGGGUCUAAUACCGGAGAGAAGCCAUCUUGAGGGUGAUGGUUGGAAAGUAUUUUCGGUGUAGGAGGAGCUCGCGGCCUAUCAGCUUGUUGGUGGGGGAAUGGCCUACCAAGGCGGCGACGGGUAGCCGGCCUGAGAGGGUGGACGGCCACAUUGGGACUGAGAUACGGCCCAGACUCCUACGGGAGGCAGCAGUGGGGAAUAUUGCACAAUGGGCGCAAGCCUGAUGCAGCGACGCCGCGUGGGGGAUGACGGCCUUCGGGUUGUAAACUCCUUUCGCUAGGGACGAAGCUUUUUGUGACGGUACCUAGAUAAGAAGCACCGGCUAACUACGUG